RNAcentral lists this ribosomal RNA (428 nucleotides) under uncultured bacterium. RNAcentral describes it as "partial 16S ribosomal RNA". It matches the Rfam family "Bacterial small subunit ribosomal RNA", at positions 354 to 796 of the family's 1533-position model. The record is from RNAcentral.
GUCGAGAAUCUUCCGCAAUGCGCGAAAGCGUGACGGAGCGACACCGCGUGAUGGAUGAAGUCCUUCGGGGCGUAAACAUCUUUUAUAAAGGAGGAAAUUUUUGACGUUACUUUAUGAAUAAGGGGCUCCCAAUCUCGUGCCAGCAGGAGCGGUAAUACGAGAGCCUCAAGCGUUAUCCGGAAUCAUUGGGCGUAAAGGGUGCGUAGGUGGUUUGAUUAGUCUCCCGUUAAAACUUCGAGCUUAACUCGAAAAGAGCGGGGGAAACGGUCAAACUAGAGUAUGUGAGAGGUGGGUGGAACUCAUGGUGUAGGGGUGAAAGCCGUUGAUAUCAUGGGGAACACCAAAAGCGAAGGCAGCACACUGGCACAUCACUGACACUGAGGCACGAAACCUAAGGUAGCGAAUGGGAUUAGAUACCCGGGUAGUCC